UGAAUGGAUGAGUGAUAAUGAUAAUGAGU
RNAcentral lists this non-coding RNA (29 nucleotides) under Bombyx mori (domestic silkworm). Lineage: Eukaryota; Metazoa; Arthropoda; Insecta; Lepidoptera; Bombycidae. The record is from RNAcentral.